AGUGAACGCUGGCGGUAGGCCUAACACAUGCAAGUCGAACGGCAGCACAGUAAGAGCUUGCUCUUACGGGUGGCGAGUGGCGGACGGGUGAGGAAUACAUCGGAAUCUACUUUUUCGUGGGGGAUAACGUAGGGAAACUUACGCUAAUACCGCAUACGACCUACGGGUGAAAGCAGGGGAUCUUCGGACCUUGCGCGAUUGAAUGAGCCGAUGUCGGAUUAGCUAGUUGGCGGGGUAAAGGCCCACCAAGGCGACGAUCCGUAGCUGGUCUGAGAGGAUGAUCAGCCACACUGGAACUGAGACACGGUCCAGACUCCUACGGGAGGCAGCAGUGGGGAAUAUUGGACAAUGGGCGCAAGCCUGAUCCAGCCAUACCGCGUGGGUGAAGAAGGCCUUCGGGUUGUAAAGCCCUUUUGUUGGGAAAGAAAAGCGGCAGGUUAAUACCCCGCUGUUCUGACGGUACCCAAAGAACAAGCACCGGCUAACUUCGUG
Molecule: ribosomal RNA, 492 nt
Filed under: uncultured bacterium
Lineage: Bacteria
Description: partial 16S ribosomal RNA
Rfam family: Bacterial small subunit ribosomal RNA
Source: RNAcentral